UACAGAGGUCUCAAGCGUUGUUCGGAAUCACUGGGCGUAAAGCGUGCGUAGGCUGUUUCGUAAGUCGUGUGUGAAAGGCGCGGGCUCAACCCGCGGACGGCACAUGAUACUGCGAGACUAGAGUAAUGGAGGGGGAACCGGAAUUCUCGGUGUAGCAGUGAAAUGCGUAGAUAUCAGGAGGAACACCGGCGGCGAAGGCGGCCUGCUGGACUGAAACUGACGUUGAGGCUCGAAAGCGUGGGGAGCAAACAGG
This 253-nucleotide ribosomal RNA is filed under the name uncultured Akkermansia sp. RNAcentral describes it as "partial 16S ribosomal RNA". It matches the Rfam family "Bacterial small subunit ribosomal RNA", at positions 524 to 776 of the family's 1533-position model. The record is from RNAcentral. Lineage: Bacteria; Pseudomonadati; Verrucomicrobiota; Verrucomicrobiia; Verrucomicrobiales; Akkermansiaceae.